UUCAAGUAAUCCAGGAUAGGCUGUCCUGCCGUUCGGCCUGUUCUCCAUUACUUGGCUC
Molecule: microRNA precursor, 58 nt
Filed under: Ornithorhynchus anatinus (platypus)
Lineage: Eukaryota; Metazoa; Chordata; Mammalia; Monotremata; Ornithorhynchidae
Description: Oan-Mir-26-P2_pre stem-loop
Source: RNAcentral